Molecule: ribosomal RNA, 253 nt
Filed under: uncultured bacterium
Lineage: Bacteria
Description: partial 16S ribosomal RNA
Rfam family: Bacterial small subunit ribosomal RNA
Source: RNAcentral
UACGUAGGCAGCAAGCGUUGUUCGGAGUUACUGGGCGUAAAGGGUGUGUAGGCGGCCUUCUAAGUUCGGUGUGAAAUCUCCCGGCUCAACCGGGAGGGUGCGCCGGAAACUGGCAGGCUAGAGUGUGGGAGGGGAAAGUGGAAUUCCUGGUGUAGCGGUGAAAUGCGUAGAUAUCAGGAGGAACACCUGUGGUGUAGACGGCUUUCUGGACCAUAACUGACGCUGAGACGCGAAAGCGUGGGGAGCAAACAGG